ACUCCUACGGGAGGCAGCAGUGGGGAAUAUUGCACAAUGGGCGCAAGCCUGAUGCAGCAACGCCGCGUGAGGGACGACGGCCUUCGGGUUGUAAACCUCUUUUAGUAGGGAAGAAGCGAAAGUGACGGUACCUGCAGAAAAAGCACCGGCUAACUACGUGCCAGCAGCCGCGGUAAUACGUAGGGUGCAAGCGUUAUCCGGAAUUAUUGGGCGUAAAGAGCUCGUAGGCGGUUUGUCGCGUCUGCUGUGAAAACUGGAGGCUCAACCUCCAGCCUGCAGUGGGUACGGGCAGACUAGAGUGCGGUAGGGGAGAUUGGAAUUCCUGGUGUAGCGGUGGAAUGCGCAGAUAUCAGGAGGAACACCGAUGGCGAAGGCAGAUCUCUGGGCCGUAACUGACGCUGAGGAGCGAAAGCAUGGGGAGCGAACAGGAUUAGAUACCCUGGUAGUCCAUGCCGUAAACGUUGGGAACUAGAUGUAGGGACCAUUCCACGGUUUCUGUGUCGCAGCUAACGCAUUAAGUUCCCCGCCUGGGGAGUACGGCCGCAAGGCUAAAACUCAAAGGAAUUGACGGGGGCCCGCACAAGCGGCGGAGCAUGCGGAUUAAUUCGAUGCAACGCGAAGAACCUUACCAAGGCUUGACAUAUACCGGAAAAGUGCAAAAAUGUACUCCCCGCAAGGUCGGUAUACAGGUGGUGCAUGGUUGUCGUCAGCUCGUGUCGUGAGAUGUGGGUUAAGUCCCGCAACGAGCGCAACCCUCGUUCUAUGUUGCCAGCACGUAAUGGUGGGAACUCAUAGGAGACUGCCGGGGUCAACUCGGA
RNAcentral lists this ribosomal RNA (818 nucleotides) under uncultured Actinomycetes bacterium. RNAcentral's name for it is "bacterial SSU rRNA". It matches the Rfam family "Bacterial small subunit ribosomal RNA", at positions 335 to 1167 of the family's 1533-position model. Lineage: Bacteria; Bacillati; Actinomycetota; Actinomycetes. The record is from RNAcentral.